RNAcentral lists this ribosomal RNA (253 nucleotides) under uncultured bacterium. Its description in RNAcentral is "partial 16S ribosomal RNA". It matches the Rfam family "Bacterial small subunit ribosomal RNA", at positions 524 to 776 of the family's 1533-position model. The record is from RNAcentral.
UACGUAGGGUGCGAGCGUUGUCCGGAUUUAUUGGGCGUAAAGAGCUCGUAGGCGGUUUGUCGCGUCGGCCGUAAAAUCUCCACGCUUAACGUGGAGCGUGCGGUCGAUACGGGCAGACUUGAGUUCGGUAGGGGAGACUGGAAUUCCUGGUGUAGCGGUGAAAUGCGCAGAUAUCAGGAGGAACACCGGUGGCGAAGGCGGGUCUCUGGGCCGUAACUGACGCUGAGGAGCGAAAGCGUGGGGAGCGAACAGG